CUGGUUGAUCCUGCCAGACCUGACUGCUAUCGGGAUACGACUAAGCCAUGCAAGUUGAAUGGUUCUCGUAACCAUAGCGUACUGCUCAGUAACACGUAGAUAACCUACCCUAAGGUUGGGACUAAUCCCGGGAAACUGGGCAUAAUCCCCAAUAGAUAAGCUGUACUGGAAUGUCUUCUUAUUCAAACCUCCGGGGCCUUAGGAUGGGUCUGCGGCGGAUUAUGGUAGUAGGUGGGGUAACGGCCACCUAGCCUUUGAUCCGUACCGGACAUGAGAGUGUGUGCCGGGAGAUGGCCACUGAGACAAGGGGCCAGGCCCUACGGGGUGCAGCAGGCGCGAAAACUCUACAAUGCCCGAAAGGGUGAUAGGGGAAUCCCGAGUGCUUCCUUAGCCGGAAGCUUUUCCCGAGCGUAAUGUUCUCGGGGAAUAAGGGGAGGGCAAGGCUGGUGCCAGCCGCCGCGGUAAAACCAGCUCCCCGAGUGGUCGGGAUGAUUAUUGGGCCUAAAGCGUCCGUAGCCGGUCGUGUAAGUCGUUGGUGAAAGGUCGGGUCUUAAGCCCGAAUUUGCUAGCGAUACUGCGCGACUUGGGACCGGAAGAGGCAAAUGGUACGUUGAGGGUAGGGGUGAAAUCCUGUAAUCCCCAACGGACCACCGGUGGCGAAGGCGAUUCGCUGGGACGGAUCCGACGGUGAGGGACGAAACCCAGGGGAGCGAGCGGGAUUAGAUACCCCGGUAGUCCUGGGUGUGAACGAUGCGCACUAGGUGUUGGCGAAGCUACGAGCUCCGUCGGUGCCGAAGCGAAGGCGUUAAGUGCGCCGCCUGGGGAGUACGGUCGCAAGACUGAAACUUAAAGGAAUUGACGGGGGAGCACCACCAGGGGAGGAGCCUGCGGUUCAAUUGGACCCAACGCCGGAAAACUUACCGGAGUCGACAGCAUGAUGAUGGCCAGGCUGAAGACCUUGCUUGAAGCGCUGAGAGGAGGUGCAUGGCCGUCGCCAGCUCGUACCGUGAGGCGUCCUCUUAAGUGAGGCAACGAGCGAGACCCUCAUCCACAGUUGCCAGCACAAGAUGGUAUCUUGGUGGGCACACUGCGGAGACUGCCCGCGAAAAGUGGGAGGAAGGUGAGGGCCACGGCAGGUCAGUAUGCCCCGAAAACUCCGGGCCACACGCGGGCUACAAUGGCUGGGACAGAAGGCCCCGACCUUGAAAGAGGAAGGAAAUCCUUAAACCCAGUCUCAGUUGGGAUUGAGGGCUGCAACCCGCCCUCAUGAACGUGGAUUCCCUAGUAAUCGCGUGUCAUCUAUCGCGCGAUGAAUACGUCCCUGCUCCUUGUACACACCGCCCGUCGUUGCACUCGAGUUGGGUUUGCCUGAGGCUGCAUUUUCCUUCGGGAAGGCGUAGACGAAGGUGAGUUCGAUAAGAGGGCAAAAGUCGUAACAAGGUA
Molecule: ribosomal RNA, 1443 nt
Filed under: metagenome
Description: bacterial SSU rRNA
Rfam family: Archaeal small subunit ribosomal RNA
Source: RNAcentral